Molecule: long non-coding RNA, 628 nt
Filed under: Toxoplasma gondii VEG
Lineage: Eukaryota; Apicomplexa; Conoidasida; Eucoccidiorida; Sarcocystidae
Source: RNAcentral
AUCAGAGUCUCUUCAGCGGACGUCGUUUGACGAACAGUUCCCUCCUGGUGGACCUGCGAGGGAAACGCACGCCACGCAUUCCACCACGGUCACUUCACAGAGGACAUAAAGUGACACAGUCCCGUUAGCUGCGGCGGGAUGGGGGAGCCGAGUGAGUCGUGUUCGUAACUUUUUCUGCGCAAAAGUAUGUUUCUGUACACCUGGACUUGCCGAGUACGAUAUCCGCGCUCUAGAGAUAAGGGAAAAUGCACCACCUAAGAUGUCGACCGUACAGUGGAGCAACCGAUUGAUACCGAUAAGGACGGAGUCUCAAAGUUGCUCGGCGACCCUCAUGAAAUUGGGGUAAAACCUUUCCUUUCCCUUAUGUACUCAUGGCGUGCAAUAUCAAACCGAUAACAACUGAAGGUAGACUCCCUAUUACACACUAUAAAAUGGGAUUCCUAGGUUUGCGCAAACUACCUUUUUCUGGGGAGAACGCUGAGAUGUCCAGCCACUACGGCUGUAAAGAGCUUACGUGAGCCGAUCUCGACUAAAGUGGAGAAAAGGCUCACAGCAUUCAAAUGUGAUGCCUAGUAAGCGUCAAGGCUUCCAGAUUGACCGAAAGUGGGGGAGCAGUCGUACCGUGCCC